CAGGGAUUAGCUCAGCCUGGUAGAGCGCUGCAUUCGGGUUGCAGAGGCCGGAGGUUCGAAUCCUCUAUCCCUGACCA
RNAcentral lists this transfer RNA (77 nucleotides) under Yoonia sp. RNAcentral describes it as "tRNA-Pro". It matches the Rfam family "tRNA". Rfam says of the family: Transfer RNA (tRNA) molecules are approximately 80 nucleotides in length. Their secondary structure includes four short double-helical elements and three loops (D, anti-codon, and T loops). Lineage: Bacteria; Pseudomonadati; Pseudomonadota; Alphaproteobacteria; Rhodobacterales; Paracoccaceae. The record is from RNAcentral.